This 120-nucleotide ribosomal RNA is filed under the name uncultured bacterium. RNAcentral describes it as "partial 16S ribosomal RNA". It matches the Rfam family "Bacterial small subunit ribosomal RNA", at positions 28 to 146 of the family's 1533-position model. The record is from RNAcentral.
GACGAACGCUGGCGGCGUGCUUAACACAUGCAAGUCGAACGAGGCCCCGCCUUCGGGUGGGUGUUCUAGUGGCGAACGGGUGAGUAACACGUGGGCAACCUGCCCCCGGCUCUGGGAUAA